AUGAUGGCGAGGCCGGCGAGCUCUGCGGCCCCAGGGAGGGGGCUUUCAGCAGCCCUCUCGCAGCCCCCGGCAGCUUCGUCGGCCUCUGGUGCCGCUCUGCAGCGCUGGCUGGGGCCGGAACCAGGAGGGUAACUGGAUGAGCAAAUUGAGGACGCGGCGGCGAAGUAGAUCAUGCCGCCCAAAAUGGUUGCUAGUCCGAAGGGGCCCUCCGCUCGGUGCCGAGCGCGGGGAAGUGGGACCUCCGCUCCAAAGGGCUUCUCCCGCAGUUUCCUCGGCACGGCUUGCGUCGUCACCUCGACCCCACUCUGGAAUGAGUUUUGCUUCUCUAUCUCAAAGCCCUAACCAGAUCUUUAAACGGGAAAGUUUUAUACAAAGCAAUAUGGUAAUUUAUUCUCUUGUUCGUUAGACCAACAUUUCUAAGGAGCCCUUUUCCAUACUGGAUGCUGUUGUGGGUGCUCCGAAGUGCACCUGUUAGCAAACCAAAAAAUAAAAAAUAAGUUUAAUAAAAAAUUAA
RNAcentral lists this long non-coding RNA (514 nucleotides) under Rattus norvegicus (Norway rat). RNAcentral describes it as "long non-coding RNA NONRATT021297". The record is from RNAcentral. Lineage: Eukaryota; Metazoa; Chordata; Mammalia; Rodentia; Muridae.